This is a long non-coding RNA of Arabidopsis thaliana (thale cress), 407 nucleotides long. RefSeq annotates it as other RNA. The transcript has a single exon. Lineage: Eukaryota; Viridiplantae; Streptophyta; Magnoliopsida; Brassicales; Brassicaceae. The record is from RefSeq.
CUCAAAGGUAUAUUUGUGUGGCUCAUGUAUUUGACUGAUGAAAUAAUGCAGAUAUGGAAAUGCAGCAAGUAUAUGGACCCUUGCUAAAAAAUAUACGGAUAAUUUCUCAUCAUGUGAUUAUCCAAUUAGUUUAUAUUAAAAAGAAAAGGCAUCAGCAUUACAGCAUCAUUUGUUCGAGGGAAUGAAAUAAUUAAACAAUAUAUAUGAUCUAGGGUUUAGAAAAUUAUUUUAGGCCAAGCCGGUGGUUACCGACAAAAUGUUUCAUCUUUUUACGUGUAGCAAAACAAUAGUUUAAAUUUCCCUUGAAAUUUCCCAAACCCCAUCACGUUUUAAGCUUCAUGUACAUCGAGAGUUUUUGUGCAUGUAAUAUUCCCAAAUUCUUGGUGAGUGGUACUCCAAAAAGUACA